This is a long non-coding RNA of Micropterus salmoides (largemouth bass), 357 nucleotides long. RefSeq lists it as uncharacterized. NCBI's taxonomy places the organism in Eukaryota, Metazoa, Chordata, Actinopteri, Centrarchiformes, Centrarchidae. The transcript is spliced from 2 exons. The record is from RefSeq and is a predicted model, not a curated record.
CUCAAGGAUGGAUCUAUACCGACUUCAAACUUGGAACCUAUCAUCCGAGUGACCUGAAGAAACUCAUGUUUGAGGUGUUCCCGGACCCACCAGACUCACCUGCUGGACUCUGGGUCCGGAGUCUGUCAUGCUUCAGUCAAGCAAAGGCCUGAAGACAAACCAGCGGUCAGCAGCAUCAGGAAAAUCUAAGCAUCCCCAGGAAGAUGCGUCAUGAUGACCACUGUGACCCAGAUGGGACAUGAUCUGGACAGUUUUUGUAUAAAUGUUAUGGCUUUGCUACUUCGUGCAUUAUAAAUACCCAAUUUAAGUUUCUAUUUCAUCGGCCAUGAAUAAAGUGCUUUAUGUUAUAGCAGAAAA